Molecule: ribosomal RNA, 557 nt
Filed under: uncultured eukaryote
Lineage: Eukaryota
Description: SSU rRNA
Rfam family: Eukaryotic small subunit ribosomal RNA
Source: RNAcentral
GUAGUCAUAUGCUUGUCUCAAAGAUUAAGCCAUGCAUGUCUAAGCACAAGCCGAUUAAUGGUGAAGCCGCGAAUGGCUCAUUACAACAGCCACUGUUUACUUGAUCUUGACUAUCCUACUUGGAUAACUGUGGUAAUUCUAGAGCUAAUACACGCAAAAAAGCUCCGACCUUACGGGACGAGCGCAUUUAUUAGACCAAAACCAAUCGGGCUUCGGCCUGAAACGUUGGUGACUCUGAAUAACUGAGCUGAUCGCAUGGUCUCGUACCGGCGACGUAUCAUUCAAGUGUCUGCCUUAUCAACUUUCGAUGGUAGUUUAUGUGCCUACCAUGGUUGUUACGGGUAACGGAGAAUAAGGGUUCGACUCCGGAGAGGGAGCCUGAGAAACGGCUACCACAUCCAAGGAAGGCAGCAGGCGCGCAAAUUACCCACUCUCGGCACGAGGAGGUAGUGACGAAAAAUAACGAGGCGGUUCUCUAUGAGGCCCGCUAUCGGAAUGAGUACAAUUUAAACCCUUUAACGAGGACCUAUGAGAGGGCAAGUCUGGUGCCAGCAGCC